GGCUCCGUUGUCUAGAGGCCUAGGACGCCGCCCUCUCAAGGCGAAAACACGGGUUCGAAUCCCGUCGGGGCUGCCA
This 76-nucleotide transfer RNA is filed under the name Clostridia bacterium. RNAcentral describes it as "tRNA-Glu". It matches the Rfam family "tRNA". From Rfam's summary of the family: Transfer RNA (tRNA) molecules are approximately 80 nucleotides in length. Their secondary structure includes four short double-helical elements and three loops (D, anti-codon, and T loops). Lineage: Bacteria; Bacillati; Bacillota; Clostridia. The record is from RNAcentral.